GCCUAAAGCCCUUUAAUACA
Molecule: transfer RNA, 20 nt
Filed under: Hyloxalus sylvaticus (forest rocket frog)
Lineage: Eukaryota; Metazoa; Chordata; Amphibia; Anura; Dendrobatidae
Description: partial tRNA-Phe
Source: RNAcentral